CAGCCAUCAAAUAGACCUUUUCUUUUUUUCCUGUAUGGUUCUUCUUCUGCUGCCAGGUUCUUCUUUUCUCUUGAAAGCAUUCCUCUGCCAGUUGUUUGUGCAGUGUGCCAGAAGGUUGACACAAAUCUUUGCAGUCAGCUUGGCUUCCUCUAAGAUGAUGAUAUAUCAUGAAAUAGUGUGGCUUCUGUUCGAGUGAGCAAGCACCUGACGAAUACGAAAACUGCAGCAGCUUCCUUGAAGGGGUAAUAUUUUUCUUUGCUUGGCGGCACAAGGGGAAAUGAAGUGCGGAGGUCUGAGAAAAUUGUUUUUUUCUUUCUGGCUGACAUUUGAAGUAGAUAUUAUAGAACAACAAUGCAGCAAAUACUGUCUUGCG
RNAcentral lists this long non-coding RNA (373 nucleotides) under Brachypodium distachyon (stiff brome). RNAcentral's name for it is "long non-coding RNA (BDIS_LNC004139)". Lineage: Eukaryota; Viridiplantae; Streptophyta; Magnoliopsida; Poales; Poaceae. The record is from RNAcentral.